CGGACGGGUGAGUAAUGUCUGGGAAACUGCCCGAUGGAGGGGGAUAACUACUGGAAACGGUAGCUAAUACCGCAUAACGUCGCAAGACCAAAGAGGGGGACCUUAGGGCCUCUUGCCAUCGGAUGUGCCCAGAUGGGAUUAGCUAGUAGGUGGGGUAACGGCUCACCUAGGCGACGAUCCCUAGCUGGUCUGAGAGGAUGACCAGCCACACUGGAACUGAGACACGGUCCAG
RNAcentral lists this ribosomal RNA (232 nucleotides) under uncultured bacterium. RNAcentral describes it as "partial 16S ribosomal RNA". It matches the Rfam family "Bacterial small subunit ribosomal RNA", at positions 99 to 334 of the family's 1533-position model. The record is from RNAcentral.